AGAUCGCAGCCCAGAGUCUGCGGAGGCGCACCGUUUCAUCAACAGCAGGGACUGAAACUUCAGCCCAGGAGAAGCCAAGAUGGCACCGUUAUCGCACCCUGGGAAUCGAGGACCGGGAAGAACUUAAUGGUCAGUGCCUGGAUGGUGACAGGUGCUCCAGUGAACUCAGGCAAACUACCUUUUCCUGCGACAGCCGAUUAUCUUUGUGCAGCUUUCAGUUUGCGGCCCCUAACCUCCUCCAGCCCAUAAACUCAGGCCUCCAGUGUUCUGAUCUUUCUCUUUGCCUUUCCGCCUUUCCAGAUGCGAUUCCUCCCGUGAUCUCAGUGAUUGUAUCAGGCGAAAACGAGGAGGGCAAAAUACCGUCCAGAUGUAAACUAGGAGCAGCCGCACCAGCAGCACCAGCAGAAUGCCGUGGUAGUGCGGCAGGCCCUGGCCCCAUGGACAAAGAGAAACUCGUCAGUGGCAGUGGCCACGAACUCAGAAAGCCUGAGGACAGUCAGCAGCUCCUCUGGCUCUUCACUUUCACACUGGUGCAACUACAGGAGCUGAAGAACAUUUUUCAACUCGUUCCAUACCCGGACGUGUUAGGAUCAGAUUCAUCAUUGGACUCCUGGACCUAUCACUGCGGACCUCAAAUGUGCACCUUUUAAGCCCUUUCCUUCACUCCUGACUGAUUGAUUUGGGAUCCACUGCUAAGUCAGACUUUUGAACCAUUGUUCCAGGCAAACUUCUGUUAAAGCUGUGGCCUCAGGGAUAUGGAAUUAAGAUCCACCUGGUGUGAUGAAUAAACCCAGACUCUCAGCAACGCAGGAAAAAAAAAACAAAAACUGGCUGGCGAUCUGGAGUAAAGGAUCCUCACAUCCACGUGAACCAGGAAACUCUGUGCCCAAAUCGACGAAAAAAAAACACUGGGAGAGCCGAACUAAAAGUCUUUUAGCACGGGUACCAGCCCUAGAAUUUCCAGUACACCAGCAGCAGCCUGGAAACCACAUCCUCAUCAAAAGACAGAAAGAAAAAAACUCGAGCCAGCCUGAGAAGGACCCUAUUUUAUGCUGUUAACCACUGAGACUGCCAUCCUCACAGCUGAGAAAGGAUGGACCCACCAUACUCAAGUCAAGAAAACAUCUUCCUCGUCAGAAUCAUGGGUUACUGUACUAGGAUUAAGCCUUACUAAGUUAAAGUUAAAGAAAGCUUAAUUUUCAUAUACCUUCUAUAUUGCUUCUUUUCCUUUCCUUAUUCUGUUACUAGCUCCUUUGUUAUUAAUGUAACUAAGUCUGAGUCACCUCAGACCAUUGCCUUUUAUGCUUGCUCUGUCAUACCUUGUGGAAAUGUAAAAGAUCAAUGACAGCUAGCCUUUUCACACAAUUAUUUAUGCCUCGGCCCUCUAAUUGACACAGUUACCCCUAGCACUCAUCGUUGUGAUCACCUGCAGCCAAGACGCUGAUUUUCUGCUCCUAUAGCCUGGCAACCUUGUGGUACAUGGGACUACGUCCUUUAAACUACCCAGGAGCAAAGUUGGACUUCCAUGAAAAAGGUUUGUGCAGAUCUAAAACCUCUCAUCUAUUUCACUAAAAGGACUUCCCCUUCUAACUGUCACCCUUACCAAUGUAACCCUGUCCUCUCUAUCACCACCUCCACCUGUCUUUAACUAACUCUAGACCUGUCCUUAAUUGCUUUUAUGGUAUUGGAAUAGGAAUUAAAAGAAAUUAAAGAAUGUGUAAGGAGAAACUCAGUUGUAUGUAAGAAAACCCAAUUCCCCCUGAGAAAGAGAAAGAGUUGGAGUCCUUUAAAAAUUAACUGCCUGUUUUUCUGUGGCUAGUGAGCCUUAUCUCUCCUCCUUUCCCAGACAUUGUGAAGACCCUGUUUCUCUAGCUGUGCAGCUGCAAGGUCACUAGACAGAUAAACUCAAGUUGUAAAACAUGUUUUUCCUUGAAAAGUAAGAAAUGCUGUAAUGCAUUUCUCAAUUAAUUAAAUAACUGUCUUUGUUUCUCGCUUCUGUAAUAUGCUUCCCCCUGCACAGAUCUCCACCCACCCUACAAAAUGCUUAAAAGGUAACUUAACUCUUUGUUCUGGGCUCAGUCCUUUGGGCUGAGUACUGGGCCGGUGCACCUAAAUAAUAAAUAUCUUCCUGAACCCCAUUUGUCU
This 2145-nucleotide long non-coding RNA is filed under the name Homo sapiens (human). Its description in RNAcentral is "HSALNT0408607". The record is from RNAcentral. Lineage: Eukaryota; Metazoa; Chordata; Mammalia; Primates; Hominidae.